UGGGGAAUAUUGGACAAUGGGGGAAACCCUGAUCCAGCAAUGCCGCGUGUGUGAAGAAGGCCUUAGGGUUGUAAAGCACUUUCAGUCGUGACGAUGAUGACGGUAACGACAGAAGAAGCCCCGGCUAACUCCGUGCCAGCAGCCGCGGUAAUACGGAGGGGGCAAGCGUUGUUCGGAAUUACUGGGCGUAAAGGGCGCGUAGGCGGCCAAGUCAGUCAGGCGUGAAAGCCCGGGGCUCAACCCCGGAAUUGCGCUUGAUACUGCUAGGCUAGAGAUCGGAAGAGGGUAGUGGAAUUCCCAGUGUAGAGGUGAAAUUCGUAGAUAUUGGGAAGAACACCAGUGGCGAAGGCGGCUACCUGGUCCGGAUCUGACGCUGAGGUGCGAAAGCGUGGGGAGCAAACAGG
This 404-nucleotide ribosomal RNA is filed under the name uncultured bacterium. Its description in RNAcentral is "bacterial SSU rRNA". It matches the Rfam family "Bacterial small subunit ribosomal RNA", at positions 355 to 776 of the family's 1533-position model. The record is from RNAcentral.